RNAcentral lists this long non-coding RNA (1783 nucleotides) under Homo sapiens (human). RNAcentral describes it as "HSALNT0120062". Lineage: Eukaryota; Metazoa; Chordata; Mammalia; Primates; Hominidae. The record is from RNAcentral.
CAAGCAGUAUUAGGUGUUCCUGCCAACAUCUUCAGCUAAGAAUUCAACUCCUCACUAAUAUUGAUUGUGAUACCUGAGAAUGAGUAAACCUCUAGGACAGAGUCAGCAAACAUUUUCUUUAAGAGCCAAGUAGCAGAUAUUUAGACUAUUCUUAGUUCAUGGGCUGUAUAAAAAUAGACAGAAUUUGGCCUGUGAGGCUGUAGUUUACCCUGCUUUAAAUGGUUCCUAUACCCAACCUUUAAGGCAUCCCAGCUAAAGGUGAGUGGAGCAGAAAUGAGCUGACCCCACUGAGCUUUGUCCAAAUGAUCAGCUGGUGUGUUCAUCUCAUUCUGAGAAUCAGGCUGAAGGAACAACCUCUAUCUGGAACAUGCUUUACAUAUCAGAAGGAGAAGAAAGAAAGCAGGGAAAGAAAACAGGCAUCAUGAUGGCAACUAAAGGGUGAUGAGCUUGUUUCCCACUUCACUGGAAAACAAAAUGGGAAUAUUCAGAAGAUAAGUUCCACAGCUCCCAUAGCAUCUUCCUAUCUACCAGGAUUUGGACCUUCUACACCCUGCUCCCAUUAAGGAAUUAGCCUUGCUCUUGUCCAAAACUAGCCUUUGCGUAUGCCUUAGAUCCUAUCCCCCUUGCUUGCUCACAGGCUUUGCUCCAGCAAUUCUCCCUAUUUUUCCCCUAUACCAUCAGCUUCCUCUCUCUACUAGGUCAUUUCCACCAGCACACAACAAUACUGUCUCUCUCAUCUUAGAAAUGGAAACUAACAAAAUUGAGUUCACUUUUCCUUCUGACACUAUCCCUUUUCUACCUCCCCCACUUUACAGCAAAACUCUUUGAAAGCUGCCUGAAUUUCACUGCUUCCAUUUCCUCUCCUCUUCUCACUUAAACCUACUGCUGCCAGAACCGGGACUCCACCACCUCACCAGACCCCUGCUUGUCAAUAUCAUCAAUGACUUCCAUCUUGCUAAAUCCAUUUCUUGUCCCCAUUGAACUUGACCCUCAGUAACACCUUGUCAAAUUAACCACUCCCUUCUCAUGGAAAUGAUUUCUUGUUUUCUAAGACACUACACAUUUCGUUUUCCUUCAACACCCCUGGAUGCUGCUUCCCAGUCUUGUCCCUUAACCUCCUAGCACUGAAGUGAUGCAGGGCUCAGUCCACAGAUCUCUUCAUCUUUCCUGUUCACUCCAUACUCACCCUCUUGGUAAUUCCCUUCCAGUUUCAUCGUUUAAAUGGCAUCUGUCUGCAAAUGAUUAUCAAAUGUAUGCCUCCAGCCAUGGCCACUGCUCUCAACGUUAGCUUAUCCAUCUAACUGUCAACUCUGUAUCUCUACCUGGACGCCUGAUGGAGGUCUCCAAUGUACCAUGCCCUAAACUGAAAUUUUGAUCUUCUUUAUCCACAGAAUCUGCUCGACCCUAUCUCAGUUAAAGGUAUCUAUGCCCUGGUCUAGAAGGCCUUCAGUAAUUAGAAAGCAUGUAUUUUGUGUGUAUGCCUUGAUAAGUGUUGACUGUAGCUAUAGCAAGGGAUAAUUCAUCAUCAGGAAAUGGUCAGGAGAGUGUCUCCAAAUCUUUUAAGCAUGCGCUAACCUUCAUAUAUAGGGUCCUUGUAUUACCUUUUCUCAAGUUGUACUAUAAUGUCCCGACCUUCAAAAGACCUUAUCCUUGUACAUUUGAGGACUCUUAUCUUUCCUAAUUAAAGUCAGAUGGUUGUCUUGUGGGUUUUCUUCUUCCUUUCUCUUUUGUGAGCUGCCUCUUAACAGCUGUGGUGUGUUGCUAGUGAAUUAUCAGUGGACAG